UUCGUGUUUAAAACUUAUGGAGAGAACCCAGCAAACGAAGUACUGCGGUCGGAUGGCGGCAAAGACGUGCGUGGUGUAAACGAGUGCGUCUCUGUCAGGGGGAACGGAGAUGAGUUUUCGUUUUCCGCCCGUCAAUAAAGUACGAGCUACGCAAGCAGAAACAGGUUUUUUGCGACCGUACGCCAGAAGCAAAGGAAACUGGAAACUCUUUGCAGCUCUUGGAAAGAACCGAGGGAGGUCCGAGGGAACAAAGGGAGCGCUGCGAGAGCGAGAAAAGGGAAAUAGGAAAGGCGACAGGGGUUCCACAUCGUUUCCUCGCGUAACAUGGUUGCUUUUUGAUCUCGUCUUUAUUUACCUUUUUAGAAACUGCCUCCGCUGCACAGCAAUCAGAGAGUCACUUGCGAGUCUCAGCUGAAAAUUGAAGCGAACACUCACUUCACGGACGAUGGAUCGUCUAGUCAGCGGGAGCAAGGAUUUCGUACGUCGAAAAGCGUCACUUUGUGUCUCGAGGGAUCUCGCCUACAGGACAGGGGGAGAGUGUUUUUCUGCGCAGAAGCAGUCUUGUCUGUUUUAGUCCGGUUUUUAACAAACCCUCGUUUUAGUCUAGUGGAGGGACGGUAACACGGGAAAUCGAGGACCACGGUGAGCAUGCUUCUCGCGAAUUUGGACGGAAUGUGGCUCAAAUCAAGCGAAAACAUACUCAACUGGAUUAUCAAGUGUGCUUCCGUGUGUCUUGUUCGUAUCAGAAGCGACCUUGAUAAGCAAUUUUUUUAGACGGUUUUCAGCCUUGCUGUGUAAAAAGGCUAGUGUCUUCAACAACGUUGACUUACUCAGCAAGUACAAGUCACGCUGCUGCACCU
This 860-nucleotide long non-coding RNA is filed under the name Toxoplasma gondii VEG. The record is from RNAcentral. Lineage: Eukaryota; Apicomplexa; Conoidasida; Eucoccidiorida; Sarcocystidae.